RNAcentral lists this ribosomal RNA (496 nucleotides) under uncultured bacterium. RNAcentral describes it as "partial 16S ribosomal RNA". It matches the Rfam family "Bacterial small subunit ribosomal RNA", at positions 28 to 506 of the family's 1533-position model. The record is from RNAcentral.
GAUGAACGCUGGCGGCGUGCCUAAUACAUGCGAGUCGAGCGAACAGACGAGGAGCUUGCUCCUCUGACGUUAGCGGCGGACGGGUGAGUAACACGUGGAUAACCUACCUAUAAGACUGGGAUAACUUCGGGAAACCGGAGCUAAUACCGGAUAAUAUAUUGAACCGCAUGGUUCAAUAGUGAAAGACGGUUUUGCUGUCACUUAUAGAUGGAUCCGCGCCGCAUUAGCUAGUUGGUAAGGUAACGGCUUACCAAGGCAACGAUGCGUAGCCGACCUGAGAGGAUGAUCGGCCACACUGGAACUGAGACACGGUCCAGACUCCUACGGGAGGCAGCAGUAGGGAAUCUUCCGCAAUGGGCGAAAGCCUGACGGAGCAACGCCGCGUGAGUGAUGAAGGUCUUCGGAUCGUAAAACUCUGUUAUUAGGGAAGAACAAAUGUGUAAGUAACUAUGCACGUCUUGACGGUACCUAAGCAGAAAGCCACGGCUAACUACGU